AUGAGAGAGAAGAAAAAUAAAUCUACAUCACAUGGGAAGGUUCAGGUUGAAGCAAGCAGGGACUCUCACAACACAGCUUCCCAGCAAAUCUGGCCUAUGGAGUUCAAAUUGAGAGGUCUUCAUCCUAGAAUAACCACUGAAGGAUUUGAAGCUGCAAAGGAAAAGGUCCUUCACUUUUUGGAACCAGUCAAAGUAAGCAGAGAGAUGGACAGGGAAACACAGAUGUGGCCAGAACAUCUCUUGGCACUCAAGUUCAUGCUGAACUUGCAGAUGUCUUAACAGAGGCUGUAGUGGACUCCAUUUUGGCCAUUAAAAAACAAGGUGAACCUAUUGACCUCUUCAUGGAGGUCAAUGGAGAUGAAACAUAAAUCUGAAACUGACAGAAGCUUAAUCAGAAGGCUUGUUUUGGAUCAUGGAGCCCGUUAUCCUGAUUUGAAGAAAAGAGUAGCAGAUGCGUACAUCCUCACAUGCAACGUGUCAUCACUAGAAAAUGAAAAAACAGAAGUGAACUCUGGCUUUUUUUUAUGAGAGUGCAGAAGACAGAGAAAAACUAGUCAAAGGUAAAAGAAAAUUCAUUGAAGACAGAGAUAAAAAAAAAAUCAUAGAACUGAAAAAGAAAGUCUGAGGUAAAGGAUUUGUUGUUAUUAAUCAAAACGGAAUUGACCGCUUUUGCUUAGAUGCUCUUGCAAAAAAAGACAUAGUGGCUCUGUGCAGAGCUGAAAGGAGAGAUAUGGAGAGGCUGACUCUUGCUUGUGGUGGGGUAGCUCUAAACUCUUUUGAUGACCUAAAUCUUGACUGGGACAUAUAAGACUUGUCUAUGAGUAUACACUGGGAGAAGAGAAGUUCACCUUUGCUGAUAAGUGUAACAAUCCUCACUCUGUCACAUUAUUGGUCAAAGGACCUAAUAAGCACACACUCACUCAAAUCAAAGAUGCAUUAAGAGAUAGCUUGAGGGCUGUCAAAAAUGCUGUUGAUGACGGCUGUGUGGUUCCAGGUGCUGGUGCAGUAGAAGUGGCAAUGGCAGAAGUCCUGAUUAAAUACAAGCCCAAUGUAGAGGGCAGGGACCAAUUUAGAGUCCAAGUGUUUGCUGAUGCCUUGCUCGUUAUUCCCAAGGUUCAUGCUCAGAACUUUGGUUCUGACCUUCAGGAAAUGUUAGUUCAAAUUCAGGCUGAACAUUCGGAAUCAGGUCAACGUGUGGGUGUGGACUUGAACACAGGUGAGCCAAUGGUAGCAGGAGAAGUAGGCGUAUGGGAUAACUAUUGUGUAAAGAAACAGCUUCUUCACUCCUGCACUGUGAUUGCCACCAGCAUUCUCUUGGUUGAUGAGAUCACGCGAGGUGGAAUGUCUUCUCUGAAAGGUUGAAUUGAAGCUUCCUUUGUAUCUGAACCUUCAAGACUCUACAAAGUGAUCCUGAGGAAGAUAGCUGUGAAAUUUUUGUCCAAGCUUCAAGUGGUUUUCUUUUCUCAUAUGAAAAAAAGGAGAGAACAUUGGCGCCUAUUCAAAUUCUGAAGUUCUGAAAUUAUAAUUACAGUAUUUUUUAAAUUGCACUGAAGUACACACACAUAAAAGCAGGUCCUUUUUACCCAUGAACAGGAUGUUUUGCUUUAGCUGCCAUGACAUAAAAUUACAUGUUAGAUAAGCAUGUCAUCUAUCUUUUUAUUAAAUAUUCCUUGAAAA
This is an RNA transcript of Propithecus coquereli (Coquerel's sifaka), 1677 nucleotides long. It is a transcript of the gene named T-complex protein 1 subunit zeta-like, with no coding region annotated. The transcript has 2 exons. The record is from RefSeq and is a predicted model, not a curated record. Lineage: Eukaryota; Metazoa; Chordata; Mammalia; Primates; Indriidae.